Oncorhynchus nerka (sockeye salmon) is the source of this 169-nucleotide RNA transcript. RefSeq lists it as uncharacterized. NCBI's taxonomy places the organism in Eukaryota, Metazoa, Chordata, Actinopteri, Salmoniformes, Salmonidae. The transcript has 3 exons. The record is from RefSeq and is a predicted model, not a curated record.
UAGAUGGCCCCCAAACCAUUAGCACCGUUAGCAAGGAGACUGUUCAAAGGAGUAGUACUACUUGAAGUUGCAGGUGUGCUAGAUUUCAGGAACAGAAUGAACAACAUGCUUCCCUCUGUCCUGGAAGUUUAUUACAAGUCCAACGAAUAUGCUGGGGUUUAUGGGAUUC